AUCCAGUUGACGAGUCCCAAAAAAUAGGACGAAGCUCACGUCCUGGAU
RNAcentral lists this non-coding RNA (48 nucleotides) under Schistosoma mattheei. The record is from RNAcentral. Lineage: Eukaryota; Metazoa; Platyhelminthes; Trematoda; Strigeidida; Schistosomatidae.